Molecule: ribosomal RNA, 253 nt
Filed under: uncultured bacterium
Lineage: Bacteria
Description: partial 16S ribosomal RNA
Rfam family: Bacterial small subunit ribosomal RNA
Source: RNAcentral
UACAGAGGGCUCAAGCGUUGUUCGGAUUCAUUGGGCGUAAAGGGUGCGUAGGCGGCGCGGUAAGUCGGGUGUGAAAUCUCGGAGCUUAACUCCGAAACUGCAUUCGAUACUGCCGUGCUUGAGGACUGGAGAGGAGACUGGAAUUUACGGUGUAGCGGUGAAAUGCGUAGAUAUCGUAAGGAAGACCAGUGGCGAAGGCGGGUCUCUGGGCCUUACCUGACGCUCAGGCGCGAAAGCUAGGGGAGCAAACAGG